CGAUGGCUUCACUGAAAAAGAACUUGAAGAAAUCUAAGCUACAUUUUUGGCCAAAACAGGCCAUCAGUUCCCUGGAAAGUGCUGGGCAUGCAAAUGGGCUAUGAACAAAAUAAAGAGACAUAUCUCUGUUUCUACAAAAUGCCAUCACAAACUUGCUAGGUCAUGUCUGUGAUGAGAUCGGGUUCCUAAAAUUUCUCUGCAGGGGCAUUGUGUCCCAGUUCAAGGACGUUCUGACUGUAGAAAUUUCGACCACCGAUAAUCCUGCGACGAUCUGC
Non-coding RNA from Misgurnus anguillicaudatus (oriental weatherfish), 275 nucleotides. The record is from RefSeq and is a predicted model, not a curated record. NCBI's taxonomy places the organism in Eukaryota, Metazoa, Chordata, Actinopteri, Cypriniformes, Cobitidae.